GGGGUGUAGCUCAGUGGUAGAGUGCUGGCCAGGCAUGCACGAGACCUGGGGUUCAGUCCCUAACACUGCA
RNAcentral lists this transfer RNA (70 nucleotides) under Marmota monax (woodchuck). RNAcentral's name for it is "tRNA.Ala". The record is from RNAcentral. Lineage: Eukaryota; Metazoa; Chordata; Mammalia; Rodentia; Sciuridae.